AAGCCACGUUAAUAAAAAAAUCAAUCAUUUGUAUUUCAAAUCAGUGCACUUUACUCAGACACAUCUCAUACAGAGAUUCCAAUAAAAAAUAACUUAGUGAAAACAUGUAUUGGAGGUUCAAAUGAUGCAACAAUAGCGAUUGUUAAGUCACCUUAAAUUCUUUUGAAACAAGAUAAAUGAGAAAUCAACCAACUAGCAAUUCAAGAAACAAGUGAAACAUAAAUAAGAAAGGACUUGCCCCAGCUACUGGAACUGCUGUCAGCAUUGGUGUCCAGUCGUCAACUUCUUCAGGGAAUGCCUCAGGACAGCCCAUAUCAAAUGACUGACUGCAGCGGAAGUGGGGGUGGGUACUGUGUUAAGGCACUGGUGAUAUGGAUACAUAAACACACAGUUUCAAAAGGCAGCAAUAAGAAACAGAUAAUUUCAAUAUGUGGUUUUCAUUUGGACUGUCCAGAGAGAAGAGAGAAUGGCAUCCAACCCAAUCAUAAGUGGAGAUGAAUGGAAAAGAUGUCCUGAGAAGGACUGAACUGAAGUUAAGGCAAAGGUCUGAGAGAGGACACUACAUGGAGAGGAAACAGCAUGAACAAACAGUCAUAAAACAAUGUGUGAAAACAAGUACUUCAGUAAUCCAAGAGCACUGUUAAACUGUGGGAAAAAAGAGGGGAAGAGAGAAUGUACUUCAAGAUCAUGCAAAAUAAACGUACAAACAUAAGACAACAAGUUUUAUUCCAUUCUUUC
This is a long non-coding RNA of Acinonyx jubatus (cheetah), 738 nucleotides long. RefSeq lists it as uncharacterized. Lineage: Eukaryota; Metazoa; Chordata; Mammalia; Carnivora; Felidae. The transcript has 3 exons. The record is from RefSeq and is a predicted model, not a curated record.